UCAGAGUGAACGCUGGCGGCGUGCCUAAUACAUGCAAGUCGAACGAUGAAGCUUCUAGCUUGCUAGAAGUGGAUUAGUGGCGCACGGGUGAGUAAUGCAUAGAUAACAUACCCUUUAGUCUAGGAUAGCCACUGGAAACGGUGAUUAAUACUGGAUACUCCCUACGGGGGAAAGUUUUUCGCUAAAGGAUUGGUCUAUGUCCUAUCAGCUUGUUGGUGAGGUAAUGGCUCACCAAGGCUAUGACGGGUAUCCGGCCUGAGAGGGUGAUCGGACACACUGGAACUGAGACACGGUCCAGACUCCUACGGGAGGCAGCAGUAGGGAAUAUUGCUCAAUGGGGGAAACCCUGAAGCAGCAACGCCGCGUGGAGGAUGAAGGUUUUCGGAUUGUAAACUCCUUUUGUGAGAGAAGAUAAUGACGGUAUCUCACGAAUAAGCACCGGCUAACUCCGUGCCAGCAGCCGCGGUAAUACGGAGGGUGCAAGCGUUACUCGGAAUCACUGGGCGUAAAGAGUGCGCAGGCGGAUUAAUAAGUCAGAUGUGAAAUCCUAUGGCUUAACCAUAGAACUGCAUUUGAAACUAUUAGUCUAGAGUGUGGGAGAGGUAGGUGGAAUUCUUGGUGUAGGGGUAAAAUCCGUAGAUAUCAAGAGGAAUACUCAUUGCGAAGGCGACCUACUGGAACAUUACUGACGCUCAUGCACGAAAGCGUGGGGAGCAAACAGGAUUAGAUACCCUGGUAGUCCACGCCCUAAACGAUGAAUGCUAGUUGUUGUGGAGCUUGUCUCUGCAGUAAUGCAGCUAACGCAUUAAGCAUUCCGCCUGGGGAGUACGGUCGCAAGAUUAAAACUCAAAGGAAUAGACGGGGACCCGCACAAGCGGUGGAGCAUGUGGUUUAAUUCGAAGAUACGCGAAGAACCUUACCUAGGCUUGACAUUGAUAGAAUCUGCUAGAGAUAGCGGAGUGCCCUUCGGGGAGCUUGAAAACAGGUGCUGCACGGCUGUCGUCAGCUCGUGUCGUGAGAUGUUGGGUUAAGUCCCGCAACGAGCGCAACCCUCGUCCUUAGUUGCUAGCAGUUCGGCUGAGCACUCUAAGGAGACUGCCUUCGUAAGGAGGAGGAAGGUGAGGACGACGUCAAGUCAUCAUGGCCCUUACGCCUAGGGCUACACACGUGCUACAAUGGGACAUACAAAAAGAUGCAAUAUCGCGAGAUGGAGCAAAUCUCUAAAAUGUCUCUCAGUUCGGAUUGUAGUCUGCAACUCGACUACAUAAAGCUGGAAUCGCUAGUAAUCGUGAAUCAGCAAUGUCACGGUGAAUACGUUCCCGGGUCUUGUACUCACCGCCCGUCACACCAUGGGAGUUGUAUUCGCCUUAAGUCGGAAUGCUAAACUGGCUACCGCCCACGGCGGAUGCAGCGACUGGGGUGAAGUCGUAACAAGGUAACCGUAGGUGAACCUGC
This 1455-nucleotide ribosomal RNA is filed under the name Helicobacter rappini. RNAcentral's name for it is "bacterial SSU rRNA". It matches the Rfam family "Bacterial small subunit ribosomal RNA". Lineage: Bacteria; Pseudomonadati; Campylobacterota; Epsilonproteobacteria; Campylobacterales; Helicobacteraceae. The record is from RNAcentral.